RNAcentral lists this ribosomal RNA (322 nucleotides) under uncultured eukaryote. RNAcentral describes it as "partial 18S ribosomal RNA". It matches the Rfam family "Eukaryotic small subunit ribosomal RNA", at positions 1470 to 1796 of the family's 1831-position model. The record is from RNAcentral.
CCCUUAGAUGUUCUGGGCCGCACGCGCGCUACACUGAUUCAUGCACUAAGUAUAUAACUUUGGUAGAAAUGCUUGGGUAAUCUUUGAAACUGAAUCGUGCUGGGGAUUGGAGCUUGUAAUUAUUCUCCAUGAACGAGGAAUUCCUAGUAAACGCGAGUCAUCAGCUCGCAUUGAUUACGUCCCUGCCCUUUGUACACACCGCCCGUCGCACCUACCGAUUGAAUGGUCCGGUGAAAUCUUCGGACCGGGCGAUAGUCAGCAAUGACCGUUGCCUGGAAAGUUGCUUAAACCUUACCAUUUAGAGGAAGGUGAAGUCGUAACA